RNAcentral lists this small RNA (148 nucleotides) under Macaca fascicularis (crab-eating macaque). RNAcentral's name for it is "Metazoan signal recognition particle RNA (ENSMFAG00000051070.1)". The record is from Rfam by way of RNAcentral. Lineage: Eukaryota; Metazoa; Chordata; Mammalia; Primates; Cercopithecidae.
GCCAGGUGCGGUGGUGGGUGCCUGUAAUCCCAGCUACUCAGGAGGCCGAGGCAGGAGAAUCACUUGAGCCCAGGAAGCAGAGGUUGUAGUGAGCAGAGAUUGCACCACUGCACUCCCGCCUGGGCAACAGAGUGAGACUCCGUCUCAA